UACGUAGGGGGCGAGCGUUGUCCGGAGUUACUGGGCGUAAAGGGCAUGCAGGCGGUCAGGCGCGUUUUGUGUGACAGCGGAUGGCUUAACUAUCCGAGGAUACGAAAGACGGCGUGACUUGAGAGCGCGAGAGGGACACGGAAUUCCGGGUGGAGUGGUGAAAUGCGUAGAUAUCGGAAGGAACACCAGUGGCGAAAGCGGCUUCCUGGUCCAGCACCGACAUUCAGGCACGAAAGCGUGGGGAGCAAACAGG
Molecule: ribosomal RNA, 253 nt
Filed under: uncultured prokaryote
Description: partial 16S ribosomal RNA
Rfam family: Bacterial small subunit ribosomal RNA
Source: RNAcentral